This is a long non-coding RNA of Spinacia oleracea (spinach), 6941 nucleotides long. RefSeq lists it as uncharacterized. Lineage: Eukaryota; Viridiplantae; Streptophyta; Magnoliopsida; Caryophyllales; Amaranthaceae. The record is from RefSeq and is a predicted model, not a curated record. The transcript has 7 exons.
AACCUAGAUUCUAGUCCUAGUCCAAUUGGGCAAAGCCCAAUUCAAUAAAACCAACUACACUCUUCUCUUUUCUAAUUCACGUACAAACCAAACACCCAAAACCCUCCAUCCUCAUUCAACUCACGUACAACUCAACAACUCCAUCCUCAUUCAACUCACGUACAACUCAACAACUCCAUCCUCUCUUCUCGCCGUUCUCCCUCCCGCCUCCACGUCCGUUGCUGCAGCCACCAAGGCCGUCAGACCACCACCAGCCGUGGCCACUGCCACCACCGAGGACCAUCAGCCACCUUCGUCGUUCCCCUGCACGCUGCGCCGCACCACCCGUUGCUGCUGCCCAGUCGGCCUCCAUCCUUCUCCUCCACACACGCAAGCAACUUUGCCCUCUCUUCUGUGUUUCUUGCUCGAACACGCAACCACCAUUGCCGACCACCGCGUCGCCCAGCCCUGCCGCCGCCAGGCCCGCUGUCGUGUGUUAUUUCCCGCCGGCCAGCACUUCCUCUUCCUCUCUCUUUGGCGGAGAAUUCUCUUUAGGCGACUUCUGAAAGUGUUAAAGUGGCCUAUUAGUUUGUUUACACAAGUCUCUAAGGAUCAAUAAGCGUUGCCCAUCUACAGGUUCGAAGAUGAUGCAUCAUUGGGAUCGGGAUUAGAGAGCUUGUAGUUCUAUUUGUCUAAUUAAGUGAUUUAAUUUGUUAACUUGGAUUUGAAAUUUGUCGUACUAUUUAUAUUUCCUUAUUUUCGUUUAUUGGUUUUGGGAUUAAACCUGUAAUCAAUUACCUAUAAACCUCAAAUUAGUUUUAUGUUUUCCGCUGCAAAAUUCUGAAUAAGCCGUUACGUUUUCACACGGGCGAUAAUGCCUUGAUAAUUCUCUAUAUUUUAUAUUAAAAGGUUAUUUUAGAAAAGAGAGAAUUGUCGGGGUGUUACAAAGUGGUAUCUAGAAGCUUAUGGUUUUAUUUCAAUGAUUUUAGGCGCCUAGACUAGCUAGUUUUCUAAAACGAAUUUCCUAGAAUUGAGCUCCUACUCAUUAUAUCGUUCAAAAAUGCGUACUUUUUUUUGGGGGGACCAAAUUCAUUUUAUUUUGUUUAAAAAGUAUAUUAAUAUUUCUUAUUUAAGUUUGAAAUUAAUUUAUUUAUUCGAAACUUUACGUUUAUGUGAAUUAAGUACGUUCUUCUUUUCGAAUCUAAAUUAAAGAUAUUCAAAAAAAAAAAAUUAAAAAAAAAAAAAAAAAACAAGACAUUAUUCUAUUUAUUCGUUAUUAUAUAUUCGUUUAAUAAAAAAAAAAAAAAAAAAUUCUUUCUUAUUAAUCAUUCUUGUUUUAUUUUAAGCGUUUCAAUGUUUACUUAUUUUGAUUUAUUACGAGAGAUGGGUAGUAUAAGAAGGGCAUAUAAGAUAGAAUUAAAUGUUCAUUAGUAGCUAGUAAUGCUAGCAUAAGAAAUUAAUUGUUAUGUACGUGCAUGUGUUUAUUGUUUAAAUGUUGUAAUUAUAUGUGCAUAAUAAAAAUUGUUUGCUUCCACCAAACUUAUUGUGUUAUCGACUUUUGAUUAUGAUUUGGUUGGGAAGUCAUUAGUGAGGCCUGAAAUUGUUUAUUUCAGAAAUAAAAUAUUCCUUUCUAAGUAUACCAACAUAGGAUCUCUCGAGAAAGAUCGAUAUAGAGACCACUGAUAUUUUUGUGAAGAAAGUGGUGUUUAGAUGUGAAUAUCUUGCUAGGAUUCAAGAGCAACCCAAUUGUACUAAGUGAUCAUGAGAAUGAAAUGGAUUAUGAGUCUGACAUUAAUAGAUGCACCAGCUUUGAACGCACUAUGCGUCAUAUAUUAAGAACAGGAGACCCUGAUAGGGAUGAGGAAGCCAUUCGUAAGUUUGACCGUGUUAGAGGGCAUACUAGAGUUGAUAUUUAUAAUGUAGUGAUACUGAGCCAGAAUAGGAUGACCUUAGUCUCAAAGGCUACGAAGAUCCACAAGGCAGAGAAAACUAGCUUAAUAUUUUAAUACCGAGGAUGAUGAUGAAUUUAAAUACGAGCCCUUUACUCUAGAAAGUUAUAAGGAAUCAAAGAACAAGAUUGAUAAUGUUUCUCUCUAAGAUUGUUUCAUUAUUUAUUUAUGUUGGGAAUAUUGUGGGACAAGUCGCCAACGGUAGUUUAAAUUUAUUGCAUAGCGCUUUUAUUUUAUUUUGGGACAAGUACGUUAUUAUGGUUUAGAAAUUGUAAUAUUGUUUUGAGGAAUAAAAUUUUCUUUAGGAAAUACAAGUUUCUUUUGAGGAAUUAAAGUUAAAUAUUUAAUUAUCCAAGUGGUCAAUGAUUUAGUUUGGGCACGCGAAGAGGAAUAAUUUCUUUUAUUAUUAUUAUUUGUGAUGAUUGAAUUUGAUUUGUUUCCCUCGAUCGGAUGUCCUUUAUGUGAAUGUCGUUCGCAAAUGAUAGAGGAGAAUUAUUUUGCAAUGAUUGUUGCACCUUUGUAAAUGAUUUUAUGUGAAUAUUGUUUAUUGAGGCGAUCUCUAUGGUCAGAUCAAAUAUUGCUUGAUAUAGAAUGACAUGUAAGUGAUGUUUAGAACCUAAGAUAGAGUAUAUUAAUUUCAGGUCGUGUUAUAGAAUGACCAACAAUAAUGACUUAGUUGUUGCUAUUCGCCUCUUGGCGGAAAAGCUGAUCCAAGAGAGAACUGAGCGUCCCGAUUCUGCUAGGGACAUGUUUGAGAGACUAGCCAAAGUUAAGUCACCAUACUUUAAGGGGGAAACUGAUCUUACUUUUAGAGAACUAGGUUAUAAAAUUUGAGAAAUUGUUUGAGGCUGUGAACUGUCCUUAGAAUAUGAGAGUGGGUCAAGUUGUCAUGUAUUUGAAAGAUGAAGCUGAUUUAUGGUGGAGAGAGAAUAGAGUUAGGCUUAGCACUGCUGAGGAGAUCCAAUUAGGAUUAGGUGGGGAAACCUUUACAUCUUCGGAUUGUGUAUGGGAAAGAUGCUCAUAUUUAUGGUUUGCAGUCUAGAAGGGACAAGAAAAAUAUUGUUCUUGGGGAGAAAAGAAAAGAGUUUAAUGCUGGGGAAAACCAAGGGAAUUUCAAGAGGAAUAUGAAUGAAAAUGGGAAUGGGAAUGGAUAUGGAAACUUUUAAGGAAGGAACAAACAGGGGCACAACAAUAGGAACCAAUCUGAGACAAUGUAUCACUGCAAGAGGUGCAACAAUAAUCACCCUGGUAAGAAUUGCAAAGGAGAAUUAGUGACCUGCAACUAUUGUCAGAAAAGGGGGCAUAGGGAGUAUGAGUGCUUCACUAAGCACAGAAAGGAACAAAAUAGUAAUGGAGAUGGGAACCAAGUGAGAUUUAACCAGUCUGGAGGUCAAAAUUCAAAGCCUGGAGGGGCACAAAACAAUCAAGAGAACUAUAAUAAACCUGCAAAUGAUAACAACAACCAGAAUAAGGCUCCAGGAAAACCGUUCAUGAUGACUAGAAAUGAAGCUGAACAUUCUGCAGACGUAGUUCAUGGUACUUUUUCUAUUAACUCCGUGCUAGUUAAAACAUUAUUUGAUUCGGGAGCAACUUAUUCUUUCGUUUUGUCAUAUGUUAUUAAGAGUCUGAAGUUAGUAGAUUUUGAAAUGAUUGAUUUACCUGUUAGUAUACCUACUGGUGUAACCUUAAGGUGUACCAAGUUAUUUAAGAACUUUCCUUUGAAGAUAAAAGAUUGCGUUUCUGACUUGAUAGAGUUUAAUGGGAAACCUAGAUGUAAUUCUGGGAAUGGAUUGGCCAAGUUUUUACGAGGCUAAGGUAGAUUGUGAAAUUCCGAAAGUAAGUUUAAGGAACCCUAUGGGAAGGUUGACCUCAUGUGAAUGUUUUGAGAAGUCCAAGAACCUUUAGUGAUUUCUAUAAUGCAAGUGAGGAAAUUGAUGAAUAGAGAGUGUGAACUAUUUUUCUGUAUUGUGCUAGACGUGAGUAAAGAAGUUGGAGUGAAGAUCGAGGAUGUUCCCAUGGUGAAUGAAUUCGUUGGUGUGUUUCCGAGUGAAAUUGCGAGUACGUCACCAGCUAGAGCCAUUGAGUUCACAAUAGAGUUGAAUCCCGGACCGACACCUAUAUCCAGAGCACUUGAUAGAAUGACACCUCCUGAAAUGAGCUAAUUAAGACAAAGUUGCAAGAGUUGUUUGGUCAAGGAAUAUAUUAGGCCUAGUGCAUCACCGUGGGGUGCUCAUGUGUUGUUUGUUAAGGAGAAAGAUAAGAGUAUGGAAUUAUGCAUCGAUUUUAGGGAACUAAACACCAUCAAGAGCAGGUAUCCUUUGCCUAGAAUAGAUGACAUAUUGGACAAAUUGAAUUGGGCGAGUGUGUUCUCGAAGACUGAUUUGGGUUUAAAGUACCACCGAUUGAGAGUAGCUGGUAAGAAUAUACUUAGAACCUCAUUAGGAUUCAUUAUUGUCAUUAAGGGUUUAGAGUAACGUCUUUUGGGUUAACCAAUGCACCUGCCAUAAUUAUGGGUUUGAUGAAUAAGAUUUUCCACGAAUUCCGAAUUAAGUUCGUUAUUAUAUUGAUGAUAUCCUCACUUAUCCAAGGAAUGAGAAAAAGCAUGACAAACACAUGAGGAUUGUUUUGGAGACGCUUAGAAAGAAUCUAGUUUUAUUAAAUGAAGUAUACAAAUCUUGAAGUCAUGUGUGUAUAAGUGACACCGACGGAAAAGUGAAGAUUAAAUUGAUUGAAAACUACGUUACUUAAGGGAAUAAAAUUUAGAGAAGAUUCGUGUGGUCCAGGAUCGUUAGAAAUCAUUUGUUGUCUUGAAAAGAUGGGAAUGUAUGAAUUGGUGGAAGUGCUAAGAGUUAAGACUAAGAGUUAUGACAUAAGGAGGUUUGGUAAAAAGGAAAAGUUGACCAGGAAGAGUUUCUGUAGAUCAUGCUAAGAUUCAAGCUGUGAGUGAGUGACCUACUCCAAAGAAAGUGUCCGAUACUUGAAGUUUUCUAAGCCUAGAUGACCAUUAUAGGAGGUUGUGAAAGACUUUUCGAGAGAGCAAAACCAAUGACCAACUUGAUGAAAAAGGAAUAGAAUUUCAAGUGAAGUGAGAAAUGUGAGGAAGCUUUCUAGAUUUAGCUGUUGUCGCGUCAAUUGAAACCUUAUAAGGCUAAUUACCAAACCCAUGACCUAGAGUUAACUGUUAUGGUGUUAUCUACGAAUAUUUGGAAACAUUACCUUUAUAGGGCAACAUGUAAGAUUUUACCGAGAACAAAAAGGCUGAAAUUUUUGCAAUAAGGUCCAGUUGAAUCUUGGGGACAACAUUAAAAAUUAAUAUUGCUUUCCACCCUGCAACCUAUAGACAGAUUGAGAUUACUAACGGAAUUUAUGUUGAAAACCCGUGUUAUUGACUUUAAGGGUAAUUGGGAAAACCACCUAGAGUCGAUUGAAUUUCUUGCAACAAUAGUUACUAUGCAAGCUUUAAGAUGACACCUGUUGAGGAAUUGUGUGGAAAGAAGUGUAGAAAUCCCACUUGCUUCGAUUUUAGUGGAAAUAUAGCAUUGGGGACAGGAUUCGUUGAAGUAGAAAUAUCCAAACUUAUUCCCUAAGAUGAGUUACGAGGGCGUAACUCGUUUUCUUUAAGAGGGGUAGAAUGCGAUAGAAAUUCGCAUUUUUCUUACCUAUUUUAUAGCAAUUUUAUGCUUAUUUUUAGCAACUUAUACAUGUUGAUGCAAGUAAAUAGAUUCUCCGCAAAAGAAAAUGUGUUCUUGAAUAUUACAAGUAACUUUUAGUUGGCAAAAGAGUUCACAAGAAUGGCACAGAGUAUUUCUCCAGUAAGAAUAAGUUGAAAACCUUUGAAAAAAAAUGGGUGAAUUUUCGUGUCAAGUUUCGGGACGAAACUUCUUUUAAGAGGGGUAGAUUGUAAUCCCCCGUAAAUUUAUAGAUUUUAUUAAUAUAUUUUAACGUAUAGUUAUUUAUAUUUUAAUAGAAUUUACGAAUUUUAAUAAUAAAUAUAUAAUUAACGUAUAUUUAUUUAAGUUAAUUACAUUUUAAAUUUUUAACGAUUUAUGAAAUCAAAAUAAUUUUAGAACUUUACAUUGAAACAAUUCGUUUUACGAAAACACGUUCGAUUGAAUUUAAUCCUAACCACUUUGGAUUCAACAACCUAGAUUCUAGUCCUAGUCCAAUUGGGCAAAGCCCAAUUCAAUAAAACCAACUACACUCUUCUCUUUUCUAAUUCACGUACAAACCAAACACCCAAAACCCUCCAUCCUCAUUCAACUCACGUACAACUCAACAACUCCAUCCUCUCUUCUCGCCGUUCUCCCUCCCGCCUCCACGUCCGUUGCUGCAGCCACCAAGGCCGUCAGACCACCACCAGCCGUGGCCACUGCCACCACCGAGGACCAUCAGCCACCUUCGUCGUUCCCCUGCACGCUGCGCCGCACCACCCGUUGCUGCUGCCCAGUCGGCCUCCAUCCUUCUCCUCCACACACGCAAGCAACUUUGCCCUCUCUUCUGUGUUUCUUGCUCGAACACGCAACCACCAUUGCCGACCACCGCGUCGCCCAGCCCUGCCGCCGCCAGGCCCGCUGUCGUGUGUUAUUUCCCGCCGGCCAGCACUUCCUCUUCCUCUCUCUUUGGCGGAGAAUUCUCUUUAGGCGACUUCUGAAAGUGUUAAAGUGGCCUAUUAGUUUGUUUACACAAGUCUCUAAGGAUCAAUAAGCGUUGCCCAUCUACAGGUUCGAAGAUGAUGCAUCAUUGGGAUCGGGAUUAGAGAGCUUGUAGUUCUAUUUGUCUAAUUAAGUGAUUUAAUUUGUUAACUUGGAUUUGAAAUUUGUCGUACUAUUUAUAUUUCCUUAUUUUCGUUUAUUGGUUUUGGGAUUAAACCUGUAAUCAAUUACCUAUAAACCUCAAAUUAGUUUUAUGUUUUCCGCUGCAAAAUUCUGAAUAAGCCGUUACGUUUUCACACGGGCGAUAAUGCCUUGAUAAUUCUCUAUAUUUUAUAUUAAAAGGUUAUUUUAGAAAAGAGAG